UUUUCUACUAUUCUUUGGUGCGGUGACUUGUUUGGCCUAAGUUUUUGUUUUCUGUCUGGGUGUCUUCUAAGUUUUUGUGGUUUUGUUUUGUGCUUUUUGUUCUUUGUUUUCUGUCUGGGUGUCUUCUAAUUUUUUGUGGUUUUGUUUUGUGCUUUUUGUUCUUUGUUUUCUGUCUGGGUGUCUUCUAAUUUUUUGUGGUUUUGUUUUGUGCUUUUUGUUCUUUGUUUUCUGUCUGGGUGUCUUCUAAGUUUUUUGUGGUUUUGUUUUGUGCUUCUUGUUCUUUGUUUUCUGUCUGGGUGUCUUCUAAGUUUUUGUGGUUUUGUUUUUUGUCUUGGCAUCUUUUAAGUUUGUGUCUGACAAAUCUUUAUUCGUGGAUUAUAUUGUUUGUUAGUAUGGGAGUUGGUUGUUGCUUGGCUUAA
Lagopus muta (rock ptarmigan) is the source of this 419-nucleotide long non-coding RNA. RefSeq lists it as uncharacterized. NCBI's taxonomy places the organism in Eukaryota, Metazoa, Chordata, Aves, Galliformes, Phasianidae. The record is from RefSeq and is a predicted model, not a curated record. The transcript has 3 exons.